GACGAACGCUGGCGGCGUGCUUAACACAUGCAAGUCGAACGGAAAGGCCCUGCUUUUGUGGGGUGCUCGAGUGGCGAACGGGUGAGUAACACGUGAGUAACCUGCCCUUGACUUUGGGAUAACUUCAGGAAACUGGGGCUAAUACCGGAUAGGAGCUCCUGCUGCAUGGUGGGGGUUGGAAAGUUUCGGCGGUUGGGGAUGGACUCGCGGCUUAUCAGCUUGUUGGUGGGGUAGUGGCUUACCAAGGCUUUGACGGGUAGCCGGCCUGAGAGGGUGACCGGGGACAAGGGGACUAAGAGAGGGCGCAGACGCCAACGGGAGGCAGCGGGGGGAAAUAUGGCACAAUGGGCGGAAGCCUGAGGCAGAAACGCCGCGUGCGGGAUGACGGCCUUCGGGUUGUAAACCGCUUUCGCCUGUGACGAAGCGUGAGUGACGGUAAUGGGUAAAGAAGCACCGGCUAACUACGUG
This 468-nucleotide ribosomal RNA is filed under the name uncultured bacterium. RNAcentral's name for it is "partial 16S ribosomal RNA". It matches the Rfam family "Bacterial small subunit ribosomal RNA", at positions 28 to 507 of the family's 1533-position model. The record is from RNAcentral.